RNAcentral lists this ribosomal RNA (468 nucleotides) under uncultured bacterium. RNAcentral describes it as "partial 16S ribosomal RNA". It matches the Rfam family "Bacterial small subunit ribosomal RNA", at positions 28 to 507 of the family's 1533-position model. The record is from RNAcentral.
GACGAACGCUGGCGGCGUGCUUAACACAUGCAAGUCGAACGGAAAGGCCCUGCUUUUGUGGGGUGCUCGAGUGGCGAACGGGUGAGUAACACGUGAGUAACCUGCCCUUGACUUUGGGAUAACUUCAGGAAACUGGGGCUAAUACCGGAUAGGAGCUCCUGCUGCAUGGUGGGGGUUGGAAAGUUUCGGCGGUUGGGGAUGGACUCGCGGCUUAUCAGCUUGUUGGUGGGGUUGUGGCUUACCAAGGCUUUGACGGGUAGCCGGCCUGAGAGGGUGGCCGGCCACGUUGGGACUGAGAUGCGGCCCAGCCUCCUACGCGACGCAGCAGUGGAGUAUAUUGCCCAAUGGGCGGAAGCCUAGUGCGACACCGCCGCGCGCGGGAUGUCGGCCUUCGGGUUGUAAACCGCUUUCGCCUGUCCCGAAGCGUGAGUGACGGUACUGGGUAAAGAAGCCCCGGCUAACUACGUG